RNAcentral lists this ribosomal RNA (483 nucleotides) under uncultured bacterium. RNAcentral describes it as "bacterial SSU rRNA". It matches the Rfam family "Bacterial small subunit ribosomal RNA", at positions 28 to 507 of the family's 1533-position model. The record is from RNAcentral.
GACGAACGCUGGCGGCGUGCCUAACACAUGCAAGUCGAACGGGACUGAUUGGAAAGCGGCUUCGGCCAAUGGAAGAUCAGUUUAGUGGCGAACGGGUGAGUAACACGUGAGGAACCCGCCUUUCAGUGGGGGACAACAGUUGGAAACGACUGCUAAUACCGCAUAAUGUACUAUAGGGGCAUCCCUUAAGUACCAAAGCUUUAUGUGCUGAAAGAUGGCCUCGCGUCUGAUUAGAUAGUUGGUGGGGUAACGGCCUACCAAGUCAACGAUCAGUAGCCGGUCUGAGAGGAUGAACGGCCACAUUGGGACUGAGAUACGGCCCAGACUCCUACGGGAGGCAGCAGUGGGGAAUAUUGGGCAAUGGGGGAAACCCGUGACCCAGCAACGCCGCGUGAAGGAAGAAGGCCUCGGGUUGUAAACUUCUUUUAGCAGGGACGAAGAACGUGACGGUACCUGGAGAAAAAGACAACGGCUAACUACGUG